GACGAACGCUGGCGGCGUGCUUAACACAUGCAAGUCGAACGGAAAGGCCCUGCUUUUGUGGGGUGCUCGAGUGGCGAACGGGUGAGUAACACGUGAGUAACCUGCCCUUGACUUUGGGAUAACUUCAGGAAACUGGGGCUAAUACCGGAUAGGAGCUCCUGCUGCAUGGUGGGGGUUGGAAAGUGUCGGCGGUUGGGGAUGGACUCGCGGCUUAUCAGCUUGUUGGUGAGGUAGUGGCUUACCAAGGCUUUGACGGGUAGCCGGCCUGAGAGGGUGACCGGCCACAUGGGGACUGAGAUACGGCCCAGACGCCUACGGGAGGCAGCAGUGGGGAAUAUUGCAGAAUGGGCGGAAGCCUGAUGCAGCAACGCCGCGUGCGGGAUGACGGCUUUCGGGUUGUAAACCGCUUUCGACGGUGACGAAGCGUGAGUGACGGUAAUGGGUAAAGAAGCACCGGCUAACUACGUG
Molecule: ribosomal RNA, 468 nt
Filed under: uncultured bacterium
Lineage: Bacteria
Description: partial 16S ribosomal RNA
Rfam family: Bacterial small subunit ribosomal RNA
Source: RNAcentral